This 29-nucleotide non-coding RNA is filed under the name Mus musculus (house mouse). Lineage: Eukaryota; Metazoa; Chordata; Mammalia; Rodentia; Muridae. The record is from RNAcentral.
UACACAACCUGGGAAAGUUUUCAGCUGGA